UGGUGACUGGUGCACAGCUGCCGCGGUGAGACGGAAGGUGCGAGCGUGAUCCGUGAUCACUGGGUGUACAGCUCGCGUGGGUGGAUGUGUAAGGGAGUUGUUGAAUCGGGUGGAAGAAACAUAUCGUGUCAAUUCAUAGUGUGGAACUAGAGGACGGCAGAGGCAAGUGGAACUAGCAGUGUAGCAGGGACAUGCGUUGAUAUUGCUAAGAACACCAAUGGCGAAGGCAGCGUGCUGGGCCACUCCUGACACUGAGUUACGAAAGCGUGGGGAGCGAACAGGAUUAGAUACCCUAGUAGUC
RNAcentral lists this ribosomal RNA (301 nucleotides) under uncultured Methanosaeta sp. RNAcentral describes it as "bacterial SSU rRNA". It matches the Rfam family "Bacterial small subunit ribosomal RNA", at positions 494 to 795 of the family's 1533-position model. Lineage: Archaea; Methanobacteriati; Methanobacteriota; Methanomicrobia; Methanotrichales; Methanotrichaceae. The record is from RNAcentral.